AUUGAACGCUGGCGGCAUGCCUUACACAUGCAAGCCGAACGGUAACAGGUCUUCGGAUGCUGACGAGUGGCGAACGGGUGAGUAAUACAUCGGAACGUGCCUAGUAGUGGGGGAUAACUACUCGAAAGAGUGGCUAAUACCGCAUGAGAUCUACGGAUGAAAGCAGGGGAUCGCAAGACCUUGUGCUACUAGAGCGGCCGAUGGCAGAUUAGGUAGUUGGUGGGAUAAAAGCUUACCAAGCCGACGAUCUGUAGCUGGUCUGCGAGGACGAUCAGCCACACUGGGACUGAGACACGGCCCAGACUCCUACGGGAGGCAGCAGUGGGGAAUUUUGGACAAUGGGCGAAAGCCUGGUCCAGCAAUGCCGCGUGCAGGAUGAAGGCCUUCGGGUUGUAAACUGCUUUUGUACGGAACGAAAAGCCCCGGGUUAAUACCCUGGGGUCAUGACGGUACCGUAAGAAUAAGCACCGGCUAACUACGUGCCAGCCGCCGCAGUAA
Molecule: ribosomal RNA, 498 nt
Filed under: uncultured bacterium
Lineage: Bacteria
Description: partial 16S ribosomal RNA
Rfam family: Bacterial small subunit ribosomal RNA
Source: RNAcentral